UACGUAGGGUGCAAGCGUUGUCCGGAAUUAUUGGGCGUAAAGAGCUCGUAGGCGGUCUGUCGCGUCGGCUGUGAAAUCCCGAGGCUCAACCUCGGGUCUGCAGUCGAUACGGGCAAACUAGAGUAUUGCAGGGGAGACUGGAAUUCCUGGUGUAGCGGUGAAAUGCGCAGAUAUCAGGAGGAACACCGGUGGCGAAGGCGGGUCUCUGGGCAAUAACUGACGCUGAGGAGCGAAAAGCGUGGGGGAGCGAACAGG
Molecule: ribosomal RNA, 255 nt
Filed under: uncultured bacterium
Lineage: Bacteria
Description: partial 16S ribosomal RNA
Rfam family: Bacterial small subunit ribosomal RNA
Source: RNAcentral